This 301-nucleotide ribosomal RNA is filed under the name uncultured bacterium. Its description in RNAcentral is "partial 16S ribosomal RNA". It matches the Rfam family "Bacterial small subunit ribosomal RNA", at positions 509 to 807 of the family's 1533-position model. The record is from RNAcentral.
CAGCCGCCGCGGGAAUACGAAGGGUGCAAGCGUUAAUCGGAAUUACUGGGCGUAAAGCGUGCGUAGGCGGUGAGUUAAGUCUGCUGUGAAAUCCCCGGGCUCAACCUGGGAAUGGCAAUGGAUACUGGCAAGCUAGAGUGUGUCAGAGGAUGGUGGAAUUCCCGGUGUAGCGGUGAAAUGCGUAGAGAUCGGGAGGAACAUCAGUGGCGAAGGCGGCCAUCUGGGACAACACUGACACUGAGGCACGAAAGCGUGGGGAGCAAACAGGAUUAGAUACCCGCGUAGUCCCUGUCUCUUAUAC